Molecule: transfer RNA, 71 nt
Filed under: Homidia socia
Lineage: Eukaryota; Metazoa; Arthropoda; Collembola; Entomobryomorpha; Entomobryidae
Description: tRNA-Leu
Source: RNAcentral
GCUAAAUUGGCAGAUUAGUGUAGUUGACUUAGAUUCUUCAUAAAAAAUUAUUUUAAAAAUUUUAUUUAGUA